ACUAAUUAGUAUAAAUUUACAUUUAAUUUGCAAUUAAAAAAUAUCUUAAGAUAUAGUUUA
This 60-nucleotide transfer RNA is filed under the name Decolopoda australis. RNAcentral's name for it is "tRNA-Ala". Lineage: Eukaryota; Metazoa; Arthropoda; Pycnogonida; Pantopoda; Colossendeidae. The record is from RNAcentral.